GAGGGAGGAGCCCCUGCCUUCUGGCGAAGGGAUUCCAAGAUGAGGGUCAAAUUUUCAACUCAAUAUGGGGAAUAAUAGAAGAUUCACUCCUCAACAUAGGGUCAGAGGUCAUCUCUAGUGACAUUUGCUUAGGGCCUAAAGACACUUGUCAUUCGGCAGAGUCAAAUCCAAAAGAAGUAAGGAGAUGGUUAAGAAGCCCAUGUAGAUUUGGGUGCCUUUUAUUCCCUUAUAAUUUUUUCAGCUUUGAUAGCAAAAGGGAUCUACUCUUGAAGGUCCAAAAAAUGUUGUUGCUAUAGGAACAGGUAAGCAGAUUAGACUUGAAAGACCAGUUUAGGAACAAAGAAUUUAAUAGUCAGAGCUAAAGCAAUUAACCAAGAAAAAUUUUAAAUAAACAUCUUCUGGGUUUCUUAUUUAUAUUUUAAUUCCAAGAAGAUAAAAUGCUAUUAUAGAAUGGGAGUACCACAUUUUAACAUUUUAAUUACACCAUGACUGGUAUAGACUAUACUUACACAAUCAGCAGAAAGGCCUUAUUAAUCAGAAGUACACAUUUCUAACUCUCUCUUGAUUGCAUUGUAAUUGACAAAUACAGCUUUAAAUUCAGCAAGAACAUGAGAAUCAUCUUUGAUUUUCCUAUAGUUCCUCAGAGGAGAACACAUCUAAAAUAAAAGAGACAGUGAACUGCAGAAAGUUUUUUGUAAUCAAUCUCUAUACCUAGAGACAUACAAGCAAAAUUGUAGAAGUAAACAGCGAAGUGUGUAGGCUGAUAAUUGUUAAUAUUUUAUGUUUUCCCAGUCCAACAUUCUUUGUGAACACAGAUAUGUGAGAAGAGAAUCAAAGACUCAGCAGCACUCCUACCUCACUGUGGAUGUUCUGUUUCUUCCUAUCAAGGAAUACACUGCAUCCCAACAUUAGGGAUUUGCUGAAAUCAUUAAAGUUCUGAACAGAACUUGCUAGACUCGUGAGGCUCAAAAAUGCUUCAUAAAGUGGCAUUGUGCUUCUCUCCCUUUCUGUUUCAUUUAAAAAGAGAACAUUCUUGAUAAAAUGAAUACAGUGUUUUCAUUCUAGCAAAUUUCUGCUGUCAGAGAUUACAUUUAUGGGACAGAGAGACUUUUUGGACACUACCUUUUCUCACAUAAUACCAGAGUCAAAUUGCAAAGAAGCAUGAGAAUGUCUGAGAGUGUGUGUGUGUGCAUACGCAUGCGCAUGUGUGUGCAUGUGUGCAUGCAUGUGUGUGUGUGUGUGUGUGUGUGUGUGUGUGUGUGGCAGGGGACAGUAUCGGAGGCUGGGGAAUGGGAAUAGGAAGAGGGGAGUGUGGCUAGAAUCUUACCAUUUCAUUCUCUUCUCCUUCAUUGAGCAGAGCGUGCUGGCCCUUCUCAAAGUGGUCCCCCAUGAAAAAGUGAUUCCACUCCUCCCUGGCCUUCCUGAGCAGGAGCCUCCGAGACCAACCUGCCGAGCCACCGCAGCUAGCCAGCUGACUGAAAGAGUUAAUGAUUC
This 1494-nucleotide long non-coding RNA is filed under the name Lynx pardinus (Iberian lynx). Lineage: Eukaryota; Metazoa; Chordata; Mammalia; Carnivora; Felidae. The record is from RNAcentral.